GAUGUACGAAUCUAAGAUAUUCUAAGAACUCUGUCCAUAAAAUAACCAAAGCCGGCACGGAUGCCGGCUUAGCUGCAACCAGCCACGGAUGGCUGUUUUGCAGCGAUGGUGACUGUUUUUUAUUACUUUUAUCAGAGUUCUUAGAACAUCUUAGCUUCGUAAAAC
Regulatory RNA element from Firmicutes bacterium CAG:882, 165 nucleotides. Lineage: Bacteria; Bacillati; Bacillota. The record is from Rfam.